UGGGGAAUUUUGGACAAUGGGGGCAACCCUGAUCCAGCAAUGCCGCGUGUGUGAAGAAGGCCUUCGGGUUGUAAAGCACUUUUGUCCGGAAAGAAAACUUCGGGGCUAAUACCCCUGGAGGAUGACGGUACCGGAAGAAUAAGCACCGGCUAACUACGUGCCAGCAGCCGCUGUAAUACGUAGGGUGCGAGCGUUAAUCGGAAUUACUGGGCGUAAAGCGUGCGCAGGCGGUGCUGUAAGACCGAUGUGAAAUCCCCGGGCUUAACCUGGGAACUGCAUUGGUGACUGCAGCGCUGGAGUAUGGCAGAGGGGGGUGGAAGUCCACGUGUAGCAGUGAAAUGCGUAGAGAUGUGGAGGAACACCGAUGGCGAAGGCAGCCCCCUGGGCCAAUACUGACGCUCAUGCACGAAAGCGUGGGGAGCAAACAGG
Molecule: ribosomal RNA, 429 nt
Filed under: Bacillota bacterium
Lineage: Bacteria; Bacillati; Bacillota
Description: Firmicutes bacterium partial 16S ribosomal RNA
Rfam family: Bacterial small subunit ribosomal RNA
Source: RNAcentral